GAUGAACGCUGGCGGCGUGCCUAAUACAUGCAAGUCGAGCGAACAGACGAGGAGCUUGCUCCUCUGACGUUAGCGGCGGACGGGUGAGUAACACGUGGAUAACCUACCUAUAAGACUGGGAUAACUUCGGGAAACCGGAGCUAAUACCGGAUAAUAUAUUUAACCGCAUGGUUCAAUAGUGAAAGACGGUUUUGCUGUCACUUAUAGAUGGAUCCGCGCCGCAUUAGCUAGUUGGCAAGGUAACGGCUUACCAAGGCAACGAUGCGUAGCCGACCUGAGAGGGUGAUCGGCCACACUGGAACUGAGACACGGUCCAGACUCCUACGGGAGGCAGCAGUAGGGAAUCUUCCGCAAUGGGCGAAAGCUUGACGGAGCAACGCCGCGUGAGUGAUGAAGGUCUUCGGAUCGUAAAACUCUGUUAUUAGGGAAGAACAAAUGUGUAAGUAACUAUGCACGUCUUGACGGUACCUAAUCAGAAAGCCACGGCUAACUACGUG
Molecule: ribosomal RNA, 497 nt
Filed under: uncultured bacterium
Lineage: Bacteria
Description: partial 16S ribosomal RNA
Rfam family: Bacterial small subunit ribosomal RNA
Source: RNAcentral